UUACAGUCACACCAUGUUGAAACAUCAGUUCCUGUAUGAUCACCAAAGUUAAGCAAUGUUGAGCCAGGUCAGUACCUAGAUGGGUGACCACAUGGGAAAGGUUGGA
Acanthosepion pharaonis is the source of this 106-nucleotide non-coding RNA. The record is from the annotation of a GenBank genome assembly. Lineage: Eukaryota; Metazoa; Mollusca; Cephalopoda; Sepiida; Sepiidae.